GGGCCCUUAGCUCAGCUGGUUAGAGCACCUCCCUUUUAAGGAGAUUGUCGCCGGUUCGAGUCCGGCAGGGCUCACCA
This 77-nucleotide transfer RNA is filed under the name Holophaga sp. RNAcentral describes it as "tRNA-Lys". It matches the Rfam family "tRNA". Rfam says of the family: Transfer RNA (tRNA) molecules are approximately 80 nucleotides in length. Their secondary structure includes four short double-helical elements and three loops (D, anti-codon, and T loops). The record is from RNAcentral. RNAcentral also lists the same sequence under 2 other names. Lineage: Bacteria; Pseudomonadati; Acidobacteriota; Holophagae; Holophagales; Holophagaceae.